This 3777-nucleotide long non-coding RNA is filed under the name Canis lupus familiaris (dog). RNAcentral describes it as "lncRNA (ENSCAFG00000055988.1)". Lineage: Eukaryota; Metazoa; Chordata; Mammalia; Carnivora; Canidae. The record is from RNAcentral.
GCUCUAGGUGAUUCUAAUUGAAGCCAAGCCUGGGAAACACUGAACUAUUUUAUUGACUCUCUUAAUAACACAAAAACAAUAAGAUAGUUAAUAUUCUCUUUUCAAAAUAAAUGACUAAAAUGUUACACUGAAUUAGUGUGUUUUACACAGGGAUUUAGAUGAGUUUUGACUUCUCAAUCUUAGAUUGAACUCUAAUUUGAAUUUUUUUUUAAAGACUUUAUUUAGUCAUGAGAGACACACACACAGAAAGAGGCAGAGACACAGGCAGAGGGAGAAGCAGGCUCCAUGCAGGGAGCCUGAUGUGGGACUCCAGGAUCACGCCCAGGGCUGAGGGCGGUGCUAAACCGCUAAGCCACCUGGACUGCCCUCCAAUUUGAAUUUUAAAGCCAAACAUUAGUUAUUAUUUUUAACCUUUUAGGCAAUUUAUAUACCACAUAAACUAUGUAUUUAGGUUAUAACUAUAAAACAAUUACAUUAAAAUUUUAGAUUAUAGAAAAAUAGCAUUUUAUACUUAAAAGUAAAAAUUUAAAAAAGACUGAGCUUAAAAGGAAAGUUUCUAUUCUUUUUCCAGUUUUUAUCUCUUCUUAUUGUGUUCUUCGGCAUUAACAGAAUUAAUAGAAUUCUGUUUUCAUCAGUUACAAUGAAAUGGUGGCAAUUACCACUGUGCUAAGGAAUUUCCAAGACUGUGAGAAAUCAUUUAGCUUUAAGACCUAUAAAAUGCAAGACAAGAGGCUUAUAUUUUAAUUAACUCUACCUUUCUUCCUUCGAUAUUUAAAAAUAACUCUUAAUUUCUGGACUAUGACUUAACUGGUAGAAUUGACAGUAUAUACUGAAGAUAAAAUAAUUAUUCUUUUAUAUAAGCGAAGCAUGAACACUGAAAUAAAAAUAUAGUGGAGUUUGGGGAUAUGAUUUCACCAUUUGGAAAUAUAAAAUAUAUAUAUCUUAUUUUGAAGAUUCAGAUAUGUCCUUUUAUUAGAGAAUUGCGAUUAUCUGAAAGAUCAUGUUCAUUGUAAGGAUUAUCUAAGUACGUGGGAAUUUGUGUUUAAUACCAUGGUGUGUUUUGACCUUAACACACAACAUACAAUCAGCAAUAUAGACAAGAUCUUUUAUUUCAAUUUAUACUUAAAAUCUUUGGAGCCUGUUAACAUUCUUGAUACUUUUGGAUAAGACACUAACAUUUUCUGAUGCCAUGACUGGGAAUAAAUCCUGUAUGAAGCAUUCCAGGUAAGUAGAAAAAAGUGAGCUGACUUUAGAUAUUAUACUGAGACAAGAUUCUUCACUGUCAGUAAACUUUUUAGUAUUGUAAUAAAACAAUUAAUUAUAACUGUUAUUUUUAGAAAUGCAUUUAUCUACAAAAUUCAAAAUGAUGCAACUUUCUGGGCAUUUUUAAAUUUUCCACUUUUUUGCCAUAUCUAUGUGACUAUUUCUCAUUUUACAUACAAAUAGAAGAUGGGCAGUAUCUCUCACUUCAACAAUUAGAUCUUUUACAUACUCAAAAAAUUAGUUUAAAUUUCUCUAAUAAGUAGUCCUAGUGUGUUAUAUAUAAAUGUUAAUGAGGAAAACUCCACUUUGCUAAGAUCUUUCAUAUAGGCAAUUACUAGACAUAUGCAUGUGUUUUACAUAUACAUGCAAUUACAUAUAGGCACGAACACAGAAACACACAGCCUCCCCUCUACCAUGUUAUUUUAGACAUAAAAUGAUGGAGUAGAACAAUAAUGCUUCAGCUUCAGUUCUACUGUGUUCAUUACCAACUUUGAGAAUCCACUUUGUAUAUACUUCCCAAAAUAUUUAUAGAUGUAUUUUUCUGUAAAAUUGAGGACUUCUGGAUUGUCCUGAGACAAAAAGAAACUCUUGUUAAUCCUUUCCUAUGAUGUAUUCCCUAGUGUCCAUAAAUCACUACCUAGGGGCAAAAAACCCUAAGUAAGGCAUAAUGUGUUUCUGAAGAAGAGGCAAAGAUCAUGUAAGAGCCUUGGUAGUGGGUGGAAUGACCAUACAGACAUGUGUGAGCUUGUUUGAAACUGAGAUCCCAGUCACACUUCCAGCAUUUCAAUGACAUAGAAUACUUAGAAAAAAAGUGAAAAACUCAAUUGUAAGAAAAAAAUUUUGGAUAGUGUUUCACAAACUGAGUUUCAUGGAUUAAUACUGCUCAAUGUAUUGCUCCUUAGAUUCCUUGAGGAUUUCAGGACCAGAUGAUUUUAAAAAAAAAAAAACUUAUCUAUUUAUUUGAGAGCGAGUGUUUGAUCACAAGCAGGAGGAGAUAGGGAGAGAAAGAAAGAAAGAAGAGAGAGAGAGUGAAUCAGACACCCUGCUGAGGAGCCCCAACACGGGAAUAGAUCUAAUGAUUAUGGAUCUAUUAUGAUUAUGGCCUUAGGAUCAUGACCUAAGCCAAAACCAAGAGUCAGCCACUCAACCAACUGAGCCAUCCAGGAGGCCCCCAGGGCCAGGUAAUUUUAGAAACAGUGUAAUAUAACCCUUGGAAUUUUGCAGUGUAUUCUCUGAAAUUCUACAAUAAAAAAAAAAAAUCUGUUACUUUGUUUAAUCUAGCAUCUCUCAGGUAUAAUUAAACUUAGAACUAAUUUUUCCCCCAUCAAAUAAGAACUGUUGAAUGCAGAUUAUAAAAUGCUGUAUUUGAUCGCUAGAUAUACAAUUGGUAAAACUGUUGUGUGAAGACUAAAGAUUGAGAGAUUGCAUAUAUAAAGACCUAGAAAUUUAUGCUGCUUUGACAAUGGGAUGAAAUAGUCCCAUAGAUCAGAGUAGAACUUUAACUAGAAUUUGAUUUAAAAGUAUACUGCUAUUCUUUUUUUUUAAGAUUUUCAUUUAUUUAUUUAUUUAUUUAUGAGAGACAACAGUGAGAGAGAGAGAGAGAGUGAGAGAGAGAAAGGCAGAGACAUAGGCUGAGGGGGAAGCAGGUUCCCUGCAAGGAGCCCAAUGUGGGACUUGAUCCUGGACCCUGGGAUCACGCCCUGGGCCAAAGGCAGAUGCUCAACCGCUGAGCCACCCAGGCAUCUCAGAAUUAUACUAUUAUUCUCUAUCCAUUAUGUGUACUGGUGUAGGAGUGGAGGAGUAGUAAUACGAACAAGACACACACAUACUAACUUGGAAUCUGUUUCAGAAUUUUCUAAAUAAAGGCUUCAUGCGUGCCAAGUAAUAUAUAUAUGUAUAUAUAUAAUAUACAUAUGUGUAUAUGUAUAUAUGUACAUAUAUGUAUGUAUAACAUAUAUAAUACACUUUUAUACUUAUAUAACACAUACAAAAUAUUGUAUUUACUUUAGAGAUGAGAAACCUAUUCUUAGAAAAGUAAUUUGUUCAGAUACAGAAUUGGUGAAAUCUUUCCCUCAAUCUUUCCCUCAAUUGCCUAGUUAAAUGGAAUUUAUAUAAACUUUGAGCGUCUUAAAAGUGGGAUCCAUAUUUUUUCAACAGUCUCUUGGCUGUCUGUUACCCACCUGCAUCUUUAUUUAAAUGAAAAGGGGUGGGUUAAUUUUUUUUUCAAUUAGUCAUUUAGUUGAGGCAGCAUAACAUUGUUAAAAAUAAAAAUGGGCUUUAGACUGUGAGAUUUUGGUUCAAAAUUCACUAGCUCUAUGACUAUCAAAUCUGAAUUUAAAUUUCCUCUGUGAAGCGAACAUGAAAUAAAUCCAUUUCACCAUAUUAUUAGAAAGAUUAAAUGAGCCAAUUCAAAGUGCCAGGUACACCCUGGGCACUCAGAAUCUGAUAAUUGCUCUUGAUUUUCUUUGCAAAUAUUCCUAUGAAAAUGUAUUUUCAAUAUUAUAAAGAAGUACC